UACGUAGGUGGCGAACGUUAUCCGGAAUUACUGGGCGUAAAGGGUGCGUAGGUGGUUUCUUAAGUCAGAGGUGAAAGGCUACGGCUCAACCGUAGUAAGCCUUUGAAACUGGGAAACUUGAGUGCAGGAGAGGAGAGUGGAAUUCCUAGUGUAGCGGUGAAAUGCGUAGAUAUUAGGAGGAACACCAGUUGCGAAGGCGGCUCUCUGGACUGUAACUGACACUGAGGCACGAAAGCGUGGGGAGCAAACAGG
RNAcentral lists this ribosomal RNA (252 nucleotides) under uncultured bacterium. RNAcentral describes it as "partial 16S ribosomal RNA". It matches the Rfam family "Bacterial small subunit ribosomal RNA", at positions 524 to 776 of the family's 1533-position model. The record is from RNAcentral.